GGUGGGGAGUUUGGAAGGAACGCAAUAGAAGGAUCUUCAAGGGGACCGCGGCCACGGCGCUUCAGGUUGCCCACUUUGUUUGGGAGGAGUACCAGGGUAGAAUUAGGGCAUGUUCUUCAGACCCGGGAGAUUAGUUCGCUUGGCCACGCACUUUUCCUUUCUUUUCUUUUCGUUUUUUCUUUGGGGCGACCAAUCUUUGAUCCCCCUCUUGUACAGUACUUUUCCUUAAUCGAAUGACGCGUGUCGACCGUCUUUUCCCUCAAAAAAAAAAUUUAGCUAUGUGCAUUUGGUUAUGCAGAGGUUGAGUGCGAACUAUGUUUGAUGUAUGUGAAUGCUUAGAUCAAUAAAAGCUCUUGUUAUCACUAAAAGAAUAUGUAAGUGUAUCAUCUUCUUUUUUUUUCGUGUUACCAAUGUUAAUUGAUACUCCCUUCGAUUCAUAAUAAUUGUUGCUG
Molecule: long non-coding RNA, 452 nt
Filed under: Brachypodium distachyon (stiff brome)
Lineage: Eukaryota; Viridiplantae; Streptophyta; Magnoliopsida; Poales; Poaceae
Description: long non-coding RNA (BDIS_LNC000785)
Source: RNAcentral